AAUCUAUGGUUCGAGCAUUUUUGAAUCAACAUUUUGAAGCAUUCUCACACCUCAUAGAAGCUUUCCCCUUCCAUCUAUCUAAAGAAAGUAAUAUAUCUUCUUAAUU
This is a small nucleolar RNA of Gossypium raimondii (Peruvian cotton), 106 nucleotides long. It matches the Rfam family "Plant small nucleolar RNA R71". Rfam says of the family: R71 is a member of the C/D box family of snoRNAs containing the C (UGAUGA) and D (CUGA) box motifs. Lineage: Eukaryota; Viridiplantae; Streptophyta; Magnoliopsida; Malvales; Malvaceae. The record is from Rfam.